Molecule: ribosomal RNA, 806 nt
Filed under: uncultured bacterium
Lineage: Bacteria
Description: bacterial SSU rRNA
Rfam family: Bacterial small subunit ribosomal RNA
Source: RNAcentral
UUAGAGUUUGAUCCUGGCUCAGGAUGAACGCUAGCGGCAGGCUUAACACAUGCAAGUCGAGGGGCAGCAUGUCCAGCAAUGGAUGAUGGCGACCGGCGGAAGGGUGCGUAACGCGUGAGCAACAUGCCCUAUACAGGGAGAUACACCAGGGAAACUUGGUCUAAUAUCCCAUAGCGUUCAUUGAAGGCAUCUUUAAUGAAUUAAAGCUUCGGUGGUAUAGGAUUGGCUCGCGUGACAUUAGCCAGAUGGUGAGGUAACGGCUCACCAUAGCAAUGAUGUCUAGGGGUUUUGAGAGGAAGGCCCCCCACACUGGGACUGAGACACGGCCCAGACUCCUACGGGAGGCAGCAGUGAGGAAUAUUGGACAAUGGAUGGAAAUCUGAUCCAGCCAUGCCGCGUGCAGGAAGACGGCCUUAUGGGUUGUAAACUGCUUUUAUACGGGAGCAAUAAGGGUUACGAGUAAUCCGAUGAGAGUACUGUAUGAAUAAGGAUCGGCUAACUCCGUACCAGCAGCCGCGGUAAUACGGAGGAUCCGAGCGUUAUCCGGAAUUAUUGGGUUUAAAGGGUGCGUAGGCGGCCAUUUAAGUCAGCGGUGAAAUUUUGCAGCUUAACUGUAACAGUGCCGUUGAUACUGUUUGGCUAGGAUUUGGUUGUAGUGUGCGGAAUGUGUGGUGUAGCGGUGAAAUGCUUAGAUAUCACACAGAACACCGAUUGCGAAGGCAGCACACUAAGUCAUUAUUGACGCUGAGGCACGAAAGUGUGGGGAUCAAACAGGAUUAGAUACCCUGGUAGUCCACACUGUAAAC